Molecule: ribosomal RNA, 253 nt
Filed under: uncultured bacterium
Lineage: Bacteria
Description: partial 16S ribosomal RNA
Rfam family: Bacterial small subunit ribosomal RNA
Source: RNAcentral
UACGUAGGUGGCAAGCGUUGUCCGGAAUUAUUGGGCGUAAAGCGCGCGCAGGCGGUUUCUUAAGUCUGAUGUGAAAGCCCCCGGCUCAACCGGGGAGGGUCAUUGGAAACUGGGAAACUUGAGUGCAGGAGAGAAGAGCGGAAUUCCACGUGUAGCGGUGAAAUGCGUAGAGAUGUGGAGGAACACCAGUGGCGAAGGCAGCUCUCUGGUACGUGACUGACGCUGAGACGCGAAAGCGUGGGGAGCGAACAGG